Molecule: non-coding RNA, 163 nt
Organism: Mus musculus (house mouse)
Lineage: Eukaryota; Metazoa; Chordata; Mammalia; Rodentia; Muridae
Source: Rfam
GGCUCUAGGGGUAAGGGCAUUGCCUGACGACUUUUCUGGAUGGACACUCCCUCCUAAUGGUGAAUGGAAACUCCCUUUCUCAGUAGCCUCCUUGUAGUUCAUCCCGGUAGCCCAGUGUGAUUGCAGCCGCUGCCACCACCCAGACAGGAAGCCUCCCAGAGCA